UCGCGGCUUAUCACCGGCAGUCCCCUUAGAGUGCCCGGCAUUACCCGCUGGUAACUAAGGAUGAGGGUUGCGCUCGUUGCGGGACUUAACCCAACAUCUCACGACACGAGCUGACGACAGCCAUGCAACACCUGUGAUGGUCCAACUAAAUGACCAGCUAGUUUCCUAGCCGUAUGACCACCAUGUCAAGGUCUGGUAAGGUUUUUCGCGUAGCAUCGAAUUAAACCACAUGUUCCACCGCUUGUGCGGGUCCCCGUCAAUUCCGUUGAGUUUUAAUCUUGCGACCGUACUUCCCAGGCGGAGUGCUUAACGCGUUAGCUACGACACCAAAAUCUAGUUCUGAUAUCUAGCACUCAUCGUUUAGGGCGUGGACUAC
RNAcentral lists this unclassified non-coding RNA (376 nucleotides) under uncultured Candidatus Midichloriaceae bacterium. RNAcentral describes it as "contains 16S-23S intergenic spacer region". The record is from RNAcentral. Lineage: Bacteria; Pseudomonadati; Pseudomonadota; Alphaproteobacteria; Rickettsiales; Candidatus Midichloriaceae.